RNAcentral lists this ribosomal RNA (253 nucleotides) under uncultured bacterium. RNAcentral's name for it is "partial 16S ribosomal RNA". It matches the Rfam family "Bacterial small subunit ribosomal RNA", at positions 524 to 776 of the family's 1533-position model. The record is from RNAcentral.
GACAGAGGUCCCGAGCGUUAGGCGGAAUCACUGGGCUUAAAGCGUGUGUAGGCGGAUUGGUAAGUCCCUUGUGAAAUCCCACGGCUUAACCGUGGAACUGCUUGGUAUACUGCUUAUCUUGGGCCACUUAGGGGUUACCGGAACAAACGGUGGAGCGGUGAAAUGCGUAGAUAUCGUUUGGAACGCCAAUGGUGAAAACAGGUAACUGGGAGUGUGCCGACGCUGAGACGCGAAAGCCAGGGGAGCGAACGGG